UACGAAGGGGGCUAGCGUUGCUCGGAAUCACUGGGCGUAAAGGGUGCGUAGGCGGGUCUUUAAGUCAGGGGUGAAAUCCUGGAGCUCAACUCCAGAACUGCCUUUGAUACUGAAGAUCUUGAGUUCGGGAGAGGUGAGUGGAACUGCGAGUGUAGAGGUGAAAUUCGUAGAUAUCGCAAGAACACCAGUGGCGAAGGCGGCUCACUGGCCCGGUACUGACGCUGAGGUGCGAAAGCGUGGGGAGCAAACAGG
This 252-nucleotide ribosomal RNA is filed under the name uncultured bacterium. RNAcentral's name for it is "partial 16S ribosomal RNA". It matches the Rfam family "Bacterial small subunit ribosomal RNA", at positions 524 to 776 of the family's 1533-position model. The record is from RNAcentral.